UUUUAGGCAAGAGAGUUUCUUCGCUUAUCUGUUUGGUGUGAGAGAGCCUGGUUUCUACGGUGCUAUUGACAUUGCAACUGGGAAAUCCAUUCUAUUUGCGCCUAGAUUACCUGCUGAUUAUGUUUGGAUGGGAGAAAUAAAGCCAGCUUCCUACUUUCAGGAAAGGUAUAUGUUAGCAUGGUAAACUACACUGAUGAGAUUGCUCAGGUCUUGGUUGACCAAUACAAGGGAUCUGGAAAACCUUUAUGUUUCUUACAUGGGGUUAACACCGAUAGCAAUAAUUUCUCAAAACCUGCAGAGUUUGAGGGAAUAGAAAAUUUUGAGACAGAUUUGACAACUCUGCAU
Molecule: long non-coding RNA, 345 nt
Organism: Hibiscus syriacus
Lineage: Eukaryota; Viridiplantae; Streptophyta; Magnoliopsida; Malvales; Malvaceae
Exons: 4
Source: RefSeq, a predicted model, not a curated record